UGGUGGAGCGAUUUGUCUGGUCAAUUCCGAUAACGAGCGAGACUCUAGCCUACUAAAUAGUUCGGGGACCCCCACAAAGGGGCCCCGCUUCAACUUCUUAGAGGGACAGGUGGCGUUUAGCCACACGAGAUUGAGCAAUAACA
Molecule: ribosomal RNA, 143 nt
Filed under: uncultured eukaryote
Lineage: Eukaryota
Description: partial 18S ribosomal RNA
Rfam family: Eukaryotic small subunit ribosomal RNA
Source: RNAcentral